GACGAACGCUGGCGGCGUGCUUAACACAUGCAAGUCGAACGGUGAAGGGGCCUGCUUUUGUGGGCCCUGGAUGAGUGGCGAACGGGUGAGUAACACGUGAGUAACCUGCCCCCUUCUUCUGGAUAACCGCAUGAAAGUGUGGCUAAUACGGGAUAUUCUGGGUCUGUCGCAUGAUGGGUCUGGGAAAGAUUGCGCCUUUGGGUGUUUUUGGUGGGGGAUGGGCUCGCGGCCUAUCAGCUUGUUGGUGGGGUGAUGGCCUACCAAGGCGGUGACGGGUAGCCGGCCUGAGAGGGUGGACGGUCACACUGGGACUGAGACACGGCCCAGACUCCUACGGGAGGCAGCAGUGGGGAAUAUUGCACAAUGGGCGCAAGCCUGAUGCAGCGACGCCGCGUGAGGGAUGGAGGCCUUCGGGUUGUAAACCUCUUUCGCCGGUGAAGCAGGCCUGCUCCUUGUGGGUGGGUUGACGGUAGCUGGAUAAGAAGCGCCGGCUAACUACGUG
This 502-nucleotide ribosomal RNA is filed under the name uncultured bacterium. RNAcentral's name for it is "partial 16S ribosomal RNA". It matches the Rfam family "Bacterial small subunit ribosomal RNA", at positions 28 to 507 of the family's 1533-position model. The record is from RNAcentral.